GUCUCAGUAGCAUAGUGGUUAGUGCACCGUCCCGGAUAGGUUGAGACGCGGGUUCGAAUCCCGCCUGAAAUG
This 72-nucleotide transfer RNA is filed under the name Nippostrongylus brasiliensis. It matches the Rfam family "tRNA". From Rfam's summary of the family: Transfer RNA (tRNA) molecules are approximately 80 nucleotides in length. The record is from Rfam by way of RNAcentral. Lineage: Eukaryota; Metazoa; Nematoda; Chromadorea; Rhabditida; Heligmosomidae.